Molecule: long non-coding RNA, 496 nt
Filed under: Dromaius novaehollandiae (emu)
Lineage: Eukaryota; Metazoa; Chordata; Aves; Casuariiformes; Dromaiidae
Description: lncRNA (ENSDNVG00000009272.1)
Source: RNAcentral
GAGGGAAGCYGUUGGGCGUCUGAGGCGCCAUGAGCGGCGGUGAGGGCAGGCGCUACCCGGGCCGGCGCUGUCGUGUUUACUAACGUUUCACAGCCAACAGAACUGGCUGGGUUGGACCGCUGUUCACAAACUGAUCUCAACCCUUCCGAUCAGCGAAAAGUCAAGCAAGUAGGACAUCCCCUUUCAACAGAGAUUUAGAUUCAGAACUUUAGUCUGCAUCUCAGCCUGAAAUACAAGACAACAACUAGCUUUUGGCAAAUGCCAUAAAAGCAGCCCUUGGGACCGAGCUAGAGGUUCCUCAGAUACUGUACCCCUAAGGAUUCAUCCUUUCUAAUCUUCUAUUGUGCUGCUCACCUAACAGCAAGCAAGGAACUGCCUCAGCUGGCACCAUGGACAGAGGCCCCCUAUGAAGUGGCUGCAGUUGUAGACCGUCCGUUCCUGACGUGUCUUACUCGUGUGGCUUGGAAACAUCCUUCCUAAGAAUAUAUACCCCAGU